GGUUGUAGCUCGGUGGUAGAGCACUUGCCUUGCAUACAUGAGGUCCUGGGUUCGAUCCUCAGCACCA
Molecule: transfer RNA, 67 nt
Filed under: Urocitellus parryii (Arctic ground squirrel)
Lineage: Eukaryota; Metazoa; Chordata; Mammalia; Rodentia; Sciuridae
Also listed under: 2 other names
Description: Spermophilus parryii (Arctic ground squirrel) tRNA
Rfam family: tRNA
About the family: Transfer RNA (tRNA) molecules are approximately 80 nucleotides in length. Their secondary structure includes four short double-helical elements and three loops (D, anti-codon, and T loops). Further hydrogen bonds mediate the characteristic L-shaped molecular structure. tRNAs have two regions of fundamental functional importance: the anti-codon, which is responsible for specific mRNA codon recognition, and the 3' end, to which the tRNAs corresponding amino acid is attached (by aminoacyl-tRNA synthetases). tRNAs cope with the degeneracy of the genetic code in two manners: having more than one tRNA (with a specific anti-codon) for a particular amino acid; and 'wobble' base-pairing, i.e. permitting non-standard base-pairing at the 3rd anti-codon position.
Source: Rfam by way of RNAcentral